RNAcentral lists this transfer RNA (76 nucleotides) under Deltaproteobacteria bacterium RBG_16_71_12. RNAcentral's name for it is "tRNA-His". It matches the Rfam family "tRNA". From Rfam's summary of the family: Transfer RNA (tRNA) molecules are approximately 80 nucleotides in length. Their secondary structure includes four short double-helical elements and three loops (D, anti-codon, and T loops). Further hydrogen bonds mediate the characteristic L-shaped molecular structure. tRNAs have two regions of fundamental functional importance: the anti-codon, which is responsible for specific mRNA codon recognition, and the 3' end, to which the tRNAs corresponding amino acid is attached (by aminoacyl-tRNA synthetases). tRNAs cope with the degeneracy of the genetic code in two manners: having more than one tRNA (with a specific anti-codon) for a particular amino acid; and 'wobble' base-pairing, i.e. permitting non-standard base-pairing at the 3rd anti-codon position. Lineage: Bacteria; Deltaproteobacteria. The record is from RNAcentral.
GCGGUUGUAGCUCAGCUGGUAGAGCACUGGAUUGUGAUUCCGGGUGUCGCGGGUUCGAUCCCCGUCAAUCGCCCCA